This is a small nuclear RNA of Cornus florida, 114 nucleotides long. RefSeq annotates it as U5 spliceosomal RNA. The transcript has a single exon. Lineage: Eukaryota; Viridiplantae; Streptophyta; Magnoliopsida; Cornales; Cornaceae. The record is from RefSeq and is a predicted model, not a curated record.
GAGCUGUGUGGCGAGGACAGAGCGAACUAUUCUUUCGCCUUUUACUAAAGAAUACCGUGCGCUCGCCACUGUUAGCAGCAGUAAUUUUUUUUUUUUUUUUGGGUAUUUCGGAAG